RNAcentral lists this ribosomal RNA (253 nucleotides) under uncultured bacterium. Its description in RNAcentral is "partial 16S ribosomal RNA". It matches the Rfam family "Bacterial small subunit ribosomal RNA", at positions 524 to 776 of the family's 1533-position model. The record is from RNAcentral.
UACGGAGGGUGCAAGCGUUAUCCGGAAUUACUGGGCGUAAAGCGCGCGUAGGCGGACCUGCAAGUCGGGGGUGAAAGCCCGAGGCUCAACCUCGGAACUGCCUUCGAUACUGCGGGUCUCGAGUCCGGGAGAGGUGAGUGGAAUUCCUAGUGUAGAGGUGAAAUUCGUAGAUAUUAGGAAGAACACCAGUGGCGAAGGCGGCUCACUGGCCCGGUACUGACGCUGAGGCGCGAAAGCGUGGGGAGCAAACAGG